Molecule: ribosomal RNA, 432 nt
Filed under: uncultured bacterium
Lineage: Bacteria
Description: partial 16S ribosomal RNA
Rfam family: Bacterial small subunit ribosomal RNA
Source: RNAcentral
ACGAACGCUGGCGGCAUGCCUAACACAUGCAAGUCGAACGAGACCUUCGGGUCUAGUGGCGCACGGGUGCGUAACGCGUGGGAACCUGCCCUUAGGUUCGGAAUAACUCCCCGAAAGGGGUGCUAAUACCGGAUAAUGUCUUCGGACCAAAGAUUUAUCGCCUUUGGAUGGGCCCGCGUUGGAUUAGCUAGUUGGUAGGGUAAAAGCCUACCAAGGCGACGAUCCAUAGCUGGUCUGAGAGGAUGAUCAGCCACACUGGGACUGAGACACGGCCCAGACUACUACGGGAGGCAGCAGUGGGGAAUAUUGGACAAUGGGCGAAAGCCUGAUCCAGCAAUGCCGCGUGAGUGAUGAAGGCCUUAGGGUUGUAAAGCUCUUUUACCCGGGAUGAUAAUGACAGUACCGGGAGAAUAAGCUCCGGCUAACUCCGUG